GGAUGAACGCUGGCGGCGUGUCUAAGGCAUGCAAGUCGUACGAUCCUUUAACUUCGGUUUUUUGGAUAGUGGCAAACGGGUGAGUAACACAUUGGUAACCUACCUCGAAGACGUGGACAACCAGCCGAAAGGUUGGCUAAUACACGAUAAAAAUGGGGGGACAUAAGUCAUUCCCAUUUAAAGCUACGGCGCUUCGAGAGGGGCCUAUGGUCUAUCAGCUUGUUGGUAAGGUAAAGGCUUACCAAGGCGAUGACGGAUAGCGGGUGUGAGAGCAUGGCCCGCCUCACUGGGACUGAGACACUGCCCAGACUCCUACGGGAGGCUGCAGUCAAGAAUCUUCCGCAAUGCCCGCAAGGGUGACGGAGCGACGCCGCGUGAUCGAUGACGCUCUUCGGAGUGUAAAGAUCUUUUUUCAGGGACGAACAAAUGACGGUACCUGAAGAAUAAGGGGCUGCUAAACUCGUGCCAGCAGCAGCGGUAAUACGAGUGCCCCGAGCGUUAUCCGGAUUUAUUGGGCGUAAAGCGUGCGCAGGCUGUUUGUUAAGUUAGUGGUUAAAGCCCAGAGCUCAACUCUGGGAAAACUACUAAAACUAAUAAACUGGAGGAUGGAAGAGGUAAGCGGAAUUGCUGGUGAAGGGGUUAAAUCCGUUGAUAUCAGCAGGAACACCAAAUGCGAAGGCAGCUUACUAGAACAUUCCUGACGCUGGAGCACGAAAGCGUGGGGAGCGAAGAGGAUUAGAUACCCUCGUAGUCCACGCCGUAAACGCUGGAUACUAGGCAUUGGAAGUAUCGACCCUUUCAGUGCCGCUUCAACUAAGCUAACGCGUUAAGUAUCCCGCCUGGGGAGUACGGCCGCAAGGGCUAAAACUUCAAAGGGAAUUGACGGGGACCCGCACAAGCGGUGGAGCAUGUGGUUUAAUUCGACAUUAAGCCGAGGAACCUCACCAAGGCUUGACAUCUAGAUCUCGGGUAAUGCGAGAGUGCGCAAGGAACUAGGUGACAGGUGCUGCAUGGUUGUCGUCAGCUCGUGUCGUGAGAUNGUACGGUUAAGUCCGGUAACGAGCGCAACCCUUAUCCUAUGUUAUAUAGUCAUAGGGACUGCCAUCUUAAGUGGAGGAAGGAGAGGAUGACGUCAA
RNAcentral lists this ribosomal RNA (1136 nucleotides) under uncultured organism. RNAcentral describes it as "bacterial SSU rRNA". It matches the Rfam family "Bacterial small subunit ribosomal RNA", at positions 27 to 1188 of the family's 1533-position model. The record is from RNAcentral.